Molecule: ribosomal RNA, 243 nt
Filed under: uncultured Flavobacteriales bacterium
Lineage: Bacteria; Pseudomonadati; Bacteroidota; Flavobacteriia; Flavobacteriales
Description: partial 16S ribosomal RNA
Rfam family: Bacterial small subunit ribosomal RNA
Source: RNAcentral
CAAAACCGGCGCACGGGUGCGUAACGCGUAUACAAUCUGCCUUUCACAUAGGGAUAGCCGAAGAAAUUUGGAUUAAUACCUAAUGGUAUAUAAGAGCGGCAUCGUUUUUAUAUUAAAGCUACGGUGGUGAAAGAUGAGUAUGCGUUCUAUUAGCUAGUUGGAGAGGUAACGGCUCCCCAAGGCGACGAUAGAUAGGGGUUCUGAGAGGGAUGUCCCCCACACUGGUACUGAGAUACGGACCAG